Molecule: long non-coding RNA, 2049 nt
Organism: Amphibalanus amphitrite
Lineage: Eukaryota; Metazoa; Arthropoda; Thecostraca; Balanomorpha; Balanidae
Exons: 3
Source: RefSeq, a predicted model, not a curated record
GGAUAGACUUCCAGAGAGCCAGACAGCAGCACAAAGUCUCGGCCGGCUGCGGGGGCGUGCCCAAGCCAAGAGACGAACAGAGCACCAAUCUGUGCACCGAUCACCAGUGCAAGCGUGGCCGGUGCAUUCCAAACAAGAAGAGCAGCUCCUACAGAUGUAGAUGCAAACGCGGCUGGAGCGGCAAAUACUGCGACAGAGCGCCGCGUUGUCGCCGCGAGCAGAGCCGCGAUUAUAUCAGGGAGAACGGCUGCCGGUCACGGAGGCCCGUGCGCCAGGCGCGCUGCGCCGGCAGCUGCGGACGCGACUGCUGCCAGCCGCGCAGAGUUCGUAACCGGCGCGUCAGCUUCGUCUGCAACGACGGCACCCGCUACCGCAAGGUGAUCAAGGUGGCACGCAAGUGCCGCUGCCGACGCCGCAAGAAGUGCGGCGUAUAGAGCGCGUCACGUCUGUUAGACUGCGAACGGCACUGGUCGACCGGCCGAGGGGACCGGUGAGAGAACGUCAUGAGGAAGUAUCUCUGACUAUUGGGACAGUCAGACUAUGGCGACCUGACCUGACCUGGUAUUCAGGUCACGAGGCCUGACUGGAGCGGUGUUUCGACCUGAGGGUCGCCACCACGGCUUGGACUGGCUGUCCAUCGUCGGCCAUCUGACUCGACCUGACGGUGCGGUCACGACCUGGCCUGACCCGGAACAAGGUCGUGACUUGACGUGACCAGUCGGUCAGCCGUUCGGCGGCCACACAGCCGCGCCACAUGAUAUUAAUUCUCCUCUAUCUGUCUCCAGUUGUCUCCCGUUCUCCGUCAGUGUUGAGUGUGCGAGCGGCACGCGCCGCCAUCUUGUCGUGUGCCAAAUCCGGAGCAACUGAGGCCAUUGUUCAAAUGCGGCAUAUUUGUCGACGGCGCCUGUACGCCCUAGAGGCGUCCCACAGGCGCCCCCCGACCCGCGACCACGCGCCCCGAGCUAUUGUGUUUGCAAUUUUCAGCUUUAAGCUCGUUGCCGUAAUUAUUCGUCGAGAAAUGAUGACCCGUAUGACGCCGAUUCGGAAUUUCCCGUUUUAAAACCAGGGGCUGUUUCAGCGUUUUAUUACGAGUGUUCGUCAUUGCCGUCUUGUUUUUGGCGUAUUUUUUUCACGCAUGCAUAGGAGACUGCGGAGAAAAUGGUUAUUGUUUUCCUGAAACAUUAUCAGGCAGCUGGAUUUAUUCGGACCGCUCCGGAGAGUGGUCGCUCGGCCGCGCCUAUGGUCGUCAUGUUGAGAAAACAGGUUAUGUAUACGUCAGCCGUGUUUGGGCCGGGGGCAGGCAGCCGCCCCACCGGCGAAUCUUCGCCCUGUGCUACCCAGGCGCAGCUAUCGCUGGGGAGAGGAGGGGCGCUCCCCGGAGCGACCAGGGCAGAGGGGCGGGGGAUCCGCCAGCCCGCCGCGCGGUGCGCCAGUCUGUACAGAUGCGGCGAUACUGGCUAACCGUGUUUUUAUAUUUAAUGUUCCGGGCGGGCCUGCCGGGGCGCAUGUUUCGCCCGCCGGCCGCACCGCGGCGCCACAGUCGGUGUAGUCAACAACUUGUAUGUAUUUUAGCUGUAGCUGUAAUAAAAUACUCGUGUGAAUAUCUAGUGUGGACUCCGCGAUAGGGUUCACUUCUCAUGGAGACCAUAUGCAAAGUUGCAAUGAUAUACAGCUUUGUGUAUUCUAGCAGACAUCUUGUUAAAUAUACGCUCAGUGGAAGGCACGAUCUAGACACAGUGCAAUCAUCACAGUCGAGUUAGCGAGCGGGGAACGUUAUAAAAAUAAGCGCUGUUCAAAAUUAGUAACAGACAAGUCAAUGCGCUAGAAAAGGACAUUUCUCAUUUGGCACCGCCAUAAUGAGUAGCGAUGUGCUGAUUCCCAGGAUCAGGUACAGAACACUUACGAUCAAAUUGGCAAUGAUUGCAAUGUGAUGGAAGACGACAUAGGACCAUCGCCACGCCACCUACCAUCAAGCGACGAACAGCUACGAGAGCAGUUAACAAGCAUCAGGAGCUGAAAUAACUACACGUUAGAUAGACAGGCCGCUCU